GUAGUCUGCAACUCGACUACAUGAAGCUGGAAUCGCUAGUAAUCGCAGAUCAGAAUGCUGCGGUGAAUACGUUCCCGGGUCUUGUACACACCGCCCGUCACACCAUGGGAGUCGGAAAUGCCCGAAGCCGGUGACCCAACCAAAAGGAGGGAGCCGUCGAAGGCAGGUCUGAUAACUGGGGUGAAGUCGUAACAAGGUAUC
Molecule: ribosomal RNA, 201 nt
Filed under: uncultured bacterium
Lineage: Bacteria
Description: partial 16S ribosomal RNA
Rfam family: Bacterial small subunit ribosomal RNA
Source: RNAcentral